UAGGGAAUAUUGGGCAAUGGGCGAGAGCCUGACCCAGCCAUGCCGCGUGCAGGAAGAAGGCGCUAUGCGUUGUAAACUGCUUUUGUCGGGGAAGAAAACGGCCUUGCGAGGCUAACUGACGGUACCCGACGAAUCAGCACCGGCUAACUCCGUGCCAGCAGCCGCGGUAAUACGGAGGGUGCAAGCGUUGUCCGGAUUCAUUGGGUUUAAAGGGUGCGCAGGCGGAAGACUAAGUCGGGGGUGAAAGACGGUUGCUCAACAAUCGCAGUGCCUUCGAUACUGGUUUUCUUGGGUAGAGAUGAGGCGGGCGGAAUUCAAGGUGUAGCGGUGAAAUGCAUAGAUACCUUGAAGAACUCCGAUUGCGAAGGCAGCCCGCUGGGCUCUUACCGACGCUCAGGCACGAAAGCGUGGGGAUCAAAC
Molecule: ribosomal RNA, 420 nt
Filed under: uncultured bacterium
Lineage: Bacteria
Description: bacterial SSU rRNA
Rfam family: Bacterial small subunit ribosomal RNA
Source: RNAcentral